CUGGCCAACUGCAUCUUCGAUAGCGGCCAUUUUGAUCAUAUUGACGAUGAAAAGGUACAAUGCGAGUGCUUUGAACAUCUACACGGCAACGGACACUACUGCACAGGGUAUCAAAGAAUUGAUUUCGAUCAUGGACCUAAAACUGUUCUUGGAAACUUCAAUUUGAUUGUUGGCGAUGUUACUGUCUUGUUUGAUCAACAUGUGUAUCAACGGAAUGACGACGACACAGGCAGGGGUUCAGAAUUGCACUGCGUGAC
Molecule: long non-coding RNA, 257 nt
Organism: Symsagittifera roscoffensis
Lineage: Eukaryota; Metazoa; Xenacoelomorpha; Acoela; Convolutidae
Exons: 3
Source: RefSeq, a predicted model, not a curated record